This 574-nucleotide ribosomal RNA is filed under the name uncultured marine bacterium. Its description in RNAcentral is "bacterial SSU rRNA". It matches the Rfam family "Bacterial small subunit ribosomal RNA", at positions 338 to 904 of the family's 1533-position model. The record is from RNAcentral.
CCUACGGGAGGCAGCAGUGGGGAAUUUUGGACAAUGGGAGGCAACCCUGAUCCAGCAAUGCCGCGUGUGUGAAGAAGGCCUUCGGGUUGUAAAGCACUUUUGUCCGGAAAGAAAUCGCGCUGGUUAAUACCUGGCGUGGAUGACGGUACCGGAAGAAUAAGCACCGGCUAACUACGUGCCAGCAGCCGCGGUAAUACGUAGGGUGCGAGCGUUAAUCGGAAUUACUGGGCGUAAAGCGUGCGCAGGCGGUUUUGUAAGACAGGCGUGAAAUCCCCGGGCUUAACCUGGGAAUUGCGCUUGUGACUGCAAGGCUAGAGUGCGUCAGAGGGGGGUAGAAUUCCACGUGUAGCAGUGAAAUGCGUAGAGAUGUGGAGGAAUACCGAUGGCGAAGGCAGCCCCCUGGGACGUGACUGACGCUCAUGCACGAAAGCGUGGGGAGCAAACAGGAUUAGAUACCCUGGUAGUCCACGCCCUAAACGAUGUCAACUAGUUGUUGGGGAUUCAUUUUCUCAGUAACGUAGCUAACGCGUGAAGUUGACCGCCUGGGGAGUACGGUCGCAAGAUUAAAACUCAA